AGUGAACGCUGGCGGUAGGCCUAACACAUGCAAGUCGAACGGCAGCACAGUAAGAGCUUGCUCUUACGGGUGGCGAGUGGCGGACGGGUGAGGAAUACAUCGGAAUCUACUUUUUCGUGGGGGAUAACGUAGGGAAACUUACGCUAAUACCGCAUACGACCUACGGGUGAAAGCAGGGGGUCUUCGGACCUUGCGCGAUUGAAUGAGCCGAUGUCGGAUUAGCUAGUUGGCGGGGUAAAGGCCCACCAAGGCGACGAUCCGUAGCUGGUCUGAGAGGAUGAUCAGCCACACUGGAACUGAGACACGGUCCAGACUCCUACGGGAGGCAGCAGUGGGGAAUAUUGGACAAUGGGUGCAAGCCUGAUCCAGCCAUACCGCGUGGGUGAAGAAGGCCUUCGGGUUGUAAAGCCCUUUUGUUGGGAAAGAAAAGCAGCAGGUUAAUACCCCGCUGUUCUGACGGUACCCAAAGAAUAAGCACCGGCUAACUUCGUG
RNAcentral lists this ribosomal RNA (492 nucleotides) under uncultured bacterium. RNAcentral describes it as "partial 16S ribosomal RNA". It matches the Rfam family "Bacterial small subunit ribosomal RNA", at positions 29 to 507 of the family's 1533-position model. The record is from RNAcentral.